This 253-nucleotide unclassified non-coding RNA is filed under the name uncultured Rhodospirillales bacterium. Its description in RNAcentral is "contains 16S-23S intergenic spacer region". It matches the Rfam family "Bacterial small subunit ribosomal RNA", at positions 524 to 776 of the family's 1533-position model. Lineage: Bacteria; Pseudomonadati; Pseudomonadota; Alphaproteobacteria; Rhodospirillales. The record is from RNAcentral.
UACGAAAGGGGCAAGCGUUGUUCGGAUUUACUGGGCGUAAAGGGCACGCAGGCGGUCUAGCCAGUCAGGGGUGAAAGCCCGGGGCUCAACCCCGGAACUGCCUCUGAUACUGCAAGACUAGAGACUAGGAGAGGGUGGUGGAAUUCCCAGUGUAGAGGUGAAAUUCGUAGAUAUUGGGAGGAACACCAGAGGCGAAGGCGGCCACCUGGACUAGAUCUGACGCUCAGGUGCGAAAGCGUGGGGAGCAAACAGG